GAGCGUUUAGCUCAGCGGGAGAGCGUUUCCUUCACACGGAAAAGGUCAUUGGUUCAAUCCCAAUAACGCUCACCA
Molecule: transfer RNA, 75 nt
Filed under: Bacilli bacterium
Lineage: Bacteria; Bacillati; Bacillota; Bacilli
Description: tRNA-Val
Rfam family: tRNA
About the family: Transfer RNA (tRNA) molecules are approximately 80 nucleotides in length.
Source: RNAcentral